RNAcentral lists this small RNA (2511 nucleotides) under Pongo abelii (Sumatran orangutan). RNAcentral describes it as "retained intron". Lineage: Eukaryota; Metazoa; Chordata; Mammalia; Primates; Hominidae. The record is from RNAcentral.
GAUGCUUCUAAAUAGUGAUCACUUUCAGGAGGCAGCACUGCAGCUGGAAGGAUGCGAGCGACCUAGAGUGGAGGGGCUGAGGCGGCAGAUCUGAACUUGCGGAGGAUAAGAACCCAAACUUUGACUACAUCAGUCCGCACCUCGCCAGUGAAGCAAAGGACGGGUUAUCUUUUUUUUUUUCUUUCUAAGACUCAAGUUUGGGCACUUGAUCCCUUUUCUUGGAUUGCUUUGGAGGAGACGAUUUGCUGGCAACUUUGGGAACAGUCAGGACUGUGUUGUAACUCUUACUUGUAAAGCGACAGUAGAGGAUCAGACUUUUUAAAUGUUUGGAAUUCAAGAUACUUUAGGAAGAGGACCAGCUCUGAAAGAGAAAUCGCUGGGCGCCGAGAUGGAUUCGGUCAGGUCCUGGGUCCGGAAUGUCGGAGUGGUGGACGCUAAUGUCGCGGCGCAGAGCGGGGUCGCCCUGUCCCGGGCCCACUUUGAGAAGCAGCCUCCUUCCAACUUGAGGAAAUCCAACUUCUUUCACUUCGUCCUGGCGCUCUAUGACAGGCAGGGCCAGCCGGUGGAGAUCGAGCGUACGGCCUUCGUGGACUUUGUGGAGAAUGACAAAGAACAAGGCAACGAGAAGACCAACAACGGCACUCACUACAAGUUACAGCUCCUCUACAGCAACGGUGUCCGCACGGAACAGGACCUCUAUGUCAGGCUCAUCGACUCGGUCACCAAGCAGCCCAUCGCUUACGAGGGACAGAAUAAGAAUCCGGAAAUGUGCCGAGUUCUCCUGACGCACGAAGUGAUGUGUAGUCGAUGCUGCGAAAAGAAAAGCUGUGGAAACCGAAAUGAGACUCCAUCGGACCCAGUCAUAAUCGACAGGUAGGGGGAAAAAGUGAUUUUUCAAUCAUUUUUGGUUCCUUUUCUUCAUGAACCUCAACUCUGAGUACUGAUCCAUGGAGCUUUGCUGUCAAGUUGGUUUCAUGUUAUUUCUAGUCACUAAGCUCGUCCAACAAAGGCCUCCUCAUGAUGGCCUUUCUUGGAAGAAGCCAGAAUCUUCCUUUGGAACACGUGUCUCUAAAUCUGUGGUGGAGUCUUUUCCAGGUGCACCAGCUUCAGCCUAAUAAGUAGUAUGUGUGGUGCAGGAUAUAAGUGAUGGCACCUCUCCUCUCGGGCAGGGUGUGGUCUUAAUCAGUUUUCUAGAAGAAGCAGUGUGCCCCAAGUUAAGUGGCACCCACUUUAUUAUUCUCCAUGAUUGCUGCUUGGCUGGAAGAUUAUCAAUUUAGAUUAUGGUUUAGGGGAUUAUGACAAGCUCUCUGUUGCAUUCAGGGAGAUUCCUUUCUACCAUGGAGGAUUGCAUUCUGGGUUCUAUGUUAUAUUCAGAAUGGGAAAGAUUCUUUGGGACAAGACACUAAUUCACUGAAAUGUGAUUUAGGCAUCCUCAGCUGUCUGUUUUUUGUGAUUGGAAACAGAACUUACAAACCAAUGAAGAAAUACCAAAUUAACUUCCAGAAAUCAUGUAAUUUUUAAGAAACCCCAUAUUCCCAUCCCUAAUUUUUUUCUCUUUCGUUAAAAAAAUGGAAUAAUUCCCUGUUGCUUCUUUCUUUGGGUUUUCACAUUUCUAGCCAGGUCCUGAAAUGGAUUGGAGAGACCACAGUCUCCAAAGUUGUUAUUCCAAUAUUCCAACGAAUUCUCAGUUGGGAGAAUGGAACCUCUGGCAUUCUUCCCAGAAAGCCAGCUUGGUUUCUUCGUGGAAAGUAUAGCAUAGCCUAGGAACUGAGGAGGCUGGAAUUCUGAUCUUGUCCUAGCUUCUGACCUUGGACAAAGCACUCAGCAUCUCUCUUCUUCAAGAAUAUAAUGAUGGGUUAGGGGGUGCCGUCACUGCUGUAGGCUUCAAGAGGCUACUGAAAUAUCAGUGGCAGCUUUGCAGUGUUCUCUGAGAUGCUUGAAGAGGAUGAUAGGCAAAUAUAAAACGUUUGUUGGAUGUGUAUAGUGUCUUUGCCAUUUUAGAAGGUUCCAGUGAGCUGUGUUUUAGGGAGCUAUUGAGGUUGCUCUGGUCUUUUUGAAAGUACAGAGAAGCUUAAAUAUAUAGAGUUGCAAGUACUCUUUGGAGUCAGUCAUUUUCCUCAUCUAGAAGAAAAAUCUGAACCUGAGUGGUGGCAUGACUUGCCUGUGGUUGUGCAGCUGGUUGGGCAGAGCUGGCAUUAGAACACAGCUGUCCUUACUUCCAGGCUGGGUGCCGUAACUCACGCCUGUAAUCCCAGCACUUUGGGAGACCGAGGUGGGCAGAUCACUUGAGGUGGGGGGUUUGCGACCAGCCUGGUCAACAUAGUUGACCCCAGUCUUUACUGAAAAUACAAAAAUUAGUCAGGCAUGGUGGCGCAUGCCUGUAAUCCCAGCUACUUAGGAGGCUGAAGCAGGAGAAUCGCUUGAACCCAGGAGGCACAGAUUGCAGUGAGCCAAGAUCAUGCCACUGCACUCCAGCCUGAGCGACAGAGAGAGAUAGUGAGACUCUGUCUC